GACGAACGCUGGCGGCGUGCCUAAUACAUGCAAGUUGAGCGCUGAAGGUUGGUACUUGUACCAACUGGAUGAGCAGCGAACGGGUGAGUAACGCGUGGGGAAUCUGCCUUUGAGCGGGGGACAACAUUUGGAAACGAAUGCUAAUACCGCAUAAAAACUUUAAACACAAGUUUUAAGUUUGAAAGAUGCAAUUGCAUCGCUCAAAGAUGAUCCCGCGUUGUAUUAGCUAGUUGGUGAGGUAAAGGCUCACCAAGGCGAUGAUACAUAGCCGACCUGAGAGGGUGAUCGGCCAAAUUGGGACUGAGACACGGCCCAAACUCCUACGGGAGGCAGCAGUAGGGAAUCUUCGGCAAUGGACGAAAGUCUGACCGAGCAACGCCGCGUGAGUGAAGAAGGUUUUCGGAUCGUAAAAAUCUGUUGGUAGAGAAGAACGUUGGUGGGAGUGGAAAGCUCAUCAAGUGACGGUAACUAACCAGAAAGGGACGGCUAACUACGUG
RNAcentral lists this ribosomal RNA (497 nucleotides) under uncultured bacterium. RNAcentral describes it as "partial 16S ribosomal RNA". It matches the Rfam family "Bacterial small subunit ribosomal RNA", at positions 28 to 507 of the family's 1533-position model. The record is from RNAcentral.